UACGGCCAUCUCAACUUGAAUCAUCGGUUCCCGUACGUUUACCGCAGUUAAGCGCCAUCGGGCCUGGUCAGUAUGUCGAUGGGUGACCGCUUGGGAUACUAGAUGAUGUAAG
Non-coding RNA from Acanthosepion pharaonis, 112 nucleotides. The record is from the annotation of a GenBank genome assembly. Lineage: Eukaryota; Metazoa; Mollusca; Cephalopoda; Sepiida; Sepiidae.